Canis lupus familiaris (dog) is the source of this 742-nucleotide long non-coding RNA. RefSeq lists it as uncharacterized. The record is from RefSeq and is a predicted model, not a curated record. The transcript is spliced from 3 exons. Lineage: Eukaryota; Metazoa; Chordata; Mammalia; Carnivora; Canidae.
GGUGGGAAUUAAUCAAGGAGCUAGUGGGUAGGAAUGAAUCAGGGCAGUUAUUUUGACAAGGUAGUGAGGGAAGGCCUCUCUGAGGUAUCAUUUGGGCAAAGACUUGACUGGUGUGAGGAAGUGAGCCAUUCAAAGUCAAGGGUACCAGUGGUUCUAAGCGGGCACAACAGGGAAUGCAAAGCAGAGAACAAACUUGGCACAGUUGAGGGACAACAAUAAGUCCAGUGUGUCUGGAGCCAAGAGAAUGAGGGGGAGAGCGGUUUAAUCACUGACACACCAGGAAACCAGAUGGUGGAGGGCCUUGCAGACCACGGGAAAGAGUUUCAUUUUGAUGCUAAGUAUGUUGGGAAACAUUGGAGCACUUUGAACAGGGGAAUAUGAUCUAAUCCACAGUUUUGAAGAUAGUACUUCACUACGUAGACAACGAACACACAGAUGCAGAAGUGGAAGCAGGAAGACCUAUUAUAAGGCUAGUGCAGUGACCCAGGUAGAAACAUGGGUAACCACAUUCAAAUCAAAGGAUUGCUUGAUGAGUUGGAAUCAGAUAAAGAGAAUGAAUGAUUCGAACAUCAGUAUAAGCCUUGGUGACCUUCCUGAACAAACAGAGGCCAACGCCUCCACUGGGGAGACAUCGGGGAGAAGUCAAAGGCCAGGGAGGCACCACAGGCAAUAAAGAAUCCAGGAGUGGAAGUCUCAACACCCACCUGACAAAGAAAGGGGAAGAUCUCAAGAAAGAAGUGGU